AUUGAACGCUGGCGGCAGGCCUAACACAUGCAAGUCGAACGGUAGCAGGAAGAAGCUUGCUUCUUUGCUGACGAGUGGCGGACGGGUGAGUAAUGUCUGGGAAACUGCCUGAUGGAGGGGGAUAACUACUGGAAACGGUAGCUAAUACCGCAUAACGUCGCAAGACCAAAGAGGGGGACCUUCGGGCCUCUUGCCAUCAGAUGUGCCCAGAUGGGAUUAGCUAGUAGGUGGGGUAACGGCUCACCUAGGCGACGAUCCCUAGCUGGUCUGAGAGGAUGACCAGCCACACUGGAACUGAGACACGGUCCAGACUCCUACGGGAGGCAGCAGUGGGGAAUAUUGCACAAUGGGCGCAAGCCUGAUGCAGCCAUGCCGCGUGUGUGAAGAAGGCCUUCGGGUUGUAAAGCACUUUCAGCGGGGAGGAAGGGGGAAUGGUUAAUAACCAUUGCCAUUGACGUUACCCGCAGAGGAAGCACCGGCUAACUCCGUGCCAGCAGCCGCAGUAA
This 506-nucleotide ribosomal RNA is filed under the name uncultured bacterium. RNAcentral's name for it is "partial 16S ribosomal RNA". It matches the Rfam family "Bacterial small subunit ribosomal RNA", at positions 30 to 523 of the family's 1533-position model. The record is from RNAcentral.